This 378-nucleotide ribosomal RNA is filed under the name uncultured bacterium. RNAcentral describes it as "bacterial SSU rRNA". It matches the Rfam family "Bacterial small subunit ribosomal RNA", at positions 521 to 896 of the family's 1533-position model. The record is from RNAcentral.
UAAUACAGAGGGUGCAAGCGUUGUUCGGAAUUACUGGGCGUAAAGCGCGCGCAGGCGGGUCCUGUAAGUCUGGAGUGAAAUUUCGGAGCUCAACUCCGAAGCUGCUUCGGAUACUGCGGAUCUAGAGACCGGUAGAGGCUGGUAGAAUUACAGGUGUAGCGGUGGAAUGCGUAGAUAUCUGUAAGAAUACCCGUGGCGAAGGCGGCCAGCUGGGCCGGGUCUGACGCUGAGGCGCGAAAGCGUGGGGAGCAAACAGGAUUAGAUACCCUGGUAGUCCACGCCGUAAACGAUGGGCACUAGGUGCCGGGGGGAGCGACCCCUUCGGUGCCGCAGCUAACGCGAUAAGUGCCCCGCCUGGGGAGUACGGCCGCAAGGCUG